RNAcentral lists this ribosomal RNA (301 nucleotides) under uncultured bacterium. RNAcentral describes it as "partial 16S ribosomal RNA". It matches the Rfam family "Bacterial small subunit ribosomal RNA", at positions 509 to 807 of the family's 1533-position model. The record is from RNAcentral.
CAGCAGCCGCGGUAACACGUAGGGUGCGAGCGUUAAUCGGAUUUACUGGGCGUAAAGCGUGCGCAGGCGGCCCGUUAAGACAGGUGUGAAAUCCCUGGGCUCAACCUAGGAAUUGCGCUUGUGACUGGCGGGCUCGAGUACGGUAGAGGGGGGUGGAAUUCCUGGUGUAGCAGUGAAAUGCGUAGAGAUCAGGAGGAACACCGAUGGCGAAGGCAGCCCCCUGGGCCUGUACUGACGCUCAUGCACGAAAGCGUGGGGAGCAAACAGGAUUAGAUACCCCUGUAGUCCCUGUCUCUUAUAC